CCUACGGGAGGCAGCAGUGGGGAAUAUUGCGCAAUGGGGGAAACCCUGACGCAGCAACGCCGCGUGCGGGAUGAAGGCCUUCGGGUUGUAAACCGCUUUCAGCAGGGAAGACGCAGACGGUACCUGCAGAAGAAGCCCCGGCUAACUACGUGCCAGCAGCCGCGGUAAUACGUAGGGGGCGAGCGUUAUCCGGAUUCAUUGGGCGUAAAGCGCGCGCAGGCGGACCGUUAAGCGGGACCUCUAAUCCUGGGGCUCAACCUCAGGCCGGGUCCCGAACUGGCGGUCUCGAGUGCGGUAGGGGAGGUCGGAAUUCCCGGUGUAGCGGUGGAAUGCGCAGAUAUCGGGAAGAACACCGAUGGCGAAGGCAGACCUCUGGGCCGACACUGACGCUGAGGCGCGAAAGCUAGGGGAGCGAACAGGAUUAGAUACCCC
This 432-nucleotide ribosomal RNA is filed under the name uncultured bacterium. RNAcentral describes it as "bacterial SSU rRNA". It matches the Rfam family "Bacterial small subunit ribosomal RNA", at positions 338 to 788 of the family's 1533-position model. The record is from RNAcentral.